UCCCUGGUGGUCCAGUGGCUAAGACUCCAAGCUUGCAAUGCAGGAUACCUGGGUUCGAUCCCUGGUCAGGGAA
Molecule: transfer RNA, 73 nt
Filed under: Ovis aries (sheep)
Lineage: Eukaryota; Metazoa; Chordata; Mammalia; Artiodactyla; Bovidae
Rfam family: tRNA
About the family: Transfer RNA (tRNA) molecules are approximately 80 nucleotides in length. Their secondary structure includes four short double-helical elements and three loops (D, anti-codon, and T loops).
Source: Rfam by way of RNAcentral